RNAcentral lists this ribosomal RNA (440 nucleotides) under uncultured bacterium. RNAcentral describes it as "partial 16S ribosomal RNA". It matches the Rfam family "Bacterial small subunit ribosomal RNA", at positions 338 to 795 of the family's 1533-position model. The record is from RNAcentral.
CCUACGGGGGGCAGCAGUGGGGGAUAUUGCACAAUGGGGGAAACCCUGAUGCAGCGACGCCGCGUGGGUGAAGAAGCGCCUCGGCGCGUAAAGCCCUGUCAGCAGGGAAGAAAAUGACGGUACCUGAAGAAGAAGCCCCGGCUAACUACGUGCCAGCAGCCGCGGUAAUACGGAGGGGGCAAGCGUUACCCGGAUUUACUGGGUGUAAAGGGGGCGCAGACGGCGAUGCAAGCCAGGAGUGAAAGCCCGGGGCCCAACCCCGGGACUGCAUUUGGAACUGCGUGGCUAGAGUGCAGGAGGGGCAGGCGGAAUGCCUGGUGUAGCGGUGAAAUGCGUAGAUAUCAGGAGGAACACCGGUGGCGAAGGCGGCCUGCUGGACUGCAACUGACGUUGAGGCCCGAAAGCGUGGGGAGCAAACAGGAUUAGAUACCCGAGUAGUC